This is a long non-coding RNA of Oncorhynchus keta (chum salmon), 1006 nucleotides long. RefSeq lists it as uncharacterized. NCBI's taxonomy places the organism in Eukaryota, Metazoa, Chordata, Actinopteri, Salmoniformes, Salmonidae. The transcript has 4 exons. The record is from RefSeq and is a predicted model, not a curated record.
CUUCAUGUAGCUACAGUAGUUAUCUGUUAUCUGUAGGUGACUACACUAUCUUCAUGUAGCUACAGUAGUUAUCUGUAGGUGACUACACUACCUUCAUGUAGCUACAGUAGUUAUCUGUAGGUGACUCCACUACCUUCAUGUAGCUACAGUAGUUAUCUGUAGGUGACUACACUACCUUCAUGUAGCAUCAGUAGUUAUCUGUAGGUGACUACACUACCUUCAUGUGGCUACAGUAGUUAUCUGUAGGUGACUACACUACCUUCAUGUAGCUACAGUAGUUAUCUGUAGGUGACUACACUACCUUCAUGUAGCUACAGUAGUUAUCUGUAGGUGACUACACUACCUUCAUGUAGCUACAGUAGUUAUCUGUAGGUGACUACACUACCUUCAUGUAGCUACAGUAGUUAUCUGUUAUCUGUAGGUGACUACACUACCUUCAUGUAGCUACAGUAGUUAUCUGUAGGUGACUACACUACCUUCAUGUAGCUACAGUAGUUAUCUGUAGGUGACUACACUACCUUCAUGUAGCUACAGUAGUUAUCUGUAGGUGACUACACUACCUUCAUGUAGCUACAGUAGUUAUCUGUAGGUGACUACACUACCUUCAUGUAGCUACAGUAGUUAUCUGUAGGUGACUACACUACCUUCAUGUAGCUACAGUAGUUAUCUGUAGGUGACUACACUACCUUCAUGUAGCUACAGUAGUUAUCUGUAGGUGACUACACUACCUUCAUGUAGCUACAGUAGUUAUCUGUAGGUGACUACACCACCUUCAUGUAGCUACAGUAGUUAUAUGUAGGUGACUACACUACCUUCAAGUAGCUACAGUAGUUAUCUGUUAUCUGUAGGUGACUACACUACCUUCAUGUAGCUACAGUAGUUAUCUGUAGGUGACUACAGUACCUGUAUCAUAUGAAUCAUGUGACUACAGUAGUUAUCUGUAGGUGGCUACAGUAGCUUGUUCUACAGUAGUUAUCUGUAGGUGGCUACAGUAGCUUGUUCUACA